RNAcentral lists this signal recognition particle RNA (312 nucleotides) under Marine Group I thaumarchaeote. Its description in RNAcentral is "signal recognition particle sRNA". It matches the Rfam family "Archaeal signal recognition particle RNA". The record is from RNAcentral. Lineage: Archaea; Thermoproteati; Nitrososphaerota.
UAGUAGGUAGGACUGGGGUGCUAGCCGUGCCCUGUUCUGAAACCGGCUAUACGCAGAGGUCAGCAACUGCUGGGUAAAUCUCUAGAAUGGUGAUUCCCACUUGGUGUGCGGAAAUGAAAUCACGCCGAGGCGGGUGGUUGUAGGACUAGAAUUAUCCGAAGGGAUAAUUUCUAAGACCGAACGAUCGAAAGGGAUCAGGUCCGGGAGGGAGCAAUCCUAAGGUCGAACAUUCACGCUUCCUCGUCAACGUGGCGGAUCUUGUAUGCCUUGAAAUGGGGUUAUCGAUCUAGUCCAGAACCAGCAGAGCUACUA